This 465-nucleotide ribosomal RNA is filed under the name Vreelandella stevensii. RNAcentral's name for it is "partial 16S ribosomal RNA". It matches the Rfam family "Bacterial small subunit ribosomal RNA", at positions 338 to 795 of the family's 1533-position model. Lineage: Bacteria; Pseudomonadati; Pseudomonadota; Gammaproteobacteria; Oceanospirillales; Halomonadaceae. The record is from RNAcentral.
CCUACGGGAGGCAUCAGUGGGGAAUAUUGGACAAUGGGGGCAACCCUGAUCCAGCCAUGCCGCGUGUGUGAAGAAGGCCCUCGGGUUGUAAAGCACUUUCAGUGAGGAAGAACGCCUGGUGGUUAAUACCCAUCAGGAAAGACAUCACUCACAGAAGAAGCACCGGCUAACUCCGUGCCAGCAGCCGCGGUAAUACGGAGGGUGCGAGCGUUAAUCGGAAUUACUGGGCGUAAAGCGCGCGUAGGUGGCUUGAUAAGCCGGUUGUGAAAGCCCCGGGCUCAACCUGGGAACGGCAUCCGGAACUGUCAAGCUAGAGUGCAGGAGAGGAAGGUAGAAUUCCCGGUGUAGCGGUGAAAUGCGUAGAGAUCGGGAGGAAUACCAGUGGCGAAGGCGGCCUUCUGGACUGACACUGACGCUGAGGUGCGAAAGCGUGGGUAGCAAACAGGAUUAGAUACCCGAGUAGUC